Molecule: small nucleolar RNA, 137 nt
Organism: Tachyglossus aculeatus (Australian echidna)
Lineage: Eukaryota; Metazoa; Chordata; Mammalia; Monotremata; Tachyglossidae
Product: small nucleolar RNA SNORA68
Exons: 1
Source: RefSeq, a predicted model, not a curated record
UUAGCACCCCGAACCCCAAAGAUCAUUGUUUUCCAUUAAUAAUGAUCUUAUCUGGGGUGCUAACAUUAUAUGUAUCUUGUCGCCUUUCAGGAGCUGGUUAAAGUGCUCAUGAAAGUGAAAUAGAAGGGUCUACACAC